GACGACGCUGGCGGCGUGCUUAACACAUGCAAGUCGAACGAGAUACCGGAGCUUGCUCCGGUGGAAAGUGGCGAACGGGUGAGUAACACGUGAGAAAUCUGUCCUAGAGACCGGGACAACCAUCGGAAACGAUGGCUAAUACCGGAUACCCUCACAUGGUCGCAUGGUCGAGUGAGGAAAUGCUCAGGUGCUCUAGGAGGAUCUCGCGGCCUAUCAGCUAGUUGGUGGGGUAACGGCCUACCAAGGCAUCGACGGGUAGCUGGUCUGAGAGGACGAUCAGCCACACUGGGACUGAGACACGGCCCAGACUCCUACGGGAGGCAGCAGUGGGGAAUAUUGCGCAAUGGGCGAAAGCCUGACGCAGCAACGCCGCGUGAGGGAUGACGGCUUUCGGGUUGUAAACCUCUUUCAGUGAUGACGAAAAUGACGGUAGUCACAGAAGAAGCUCCGGCCAACUACGUGCCAGCAGCCGCGGUAACACGUAGGGAGCGAGCGUUGUCCGGAUUUAUUGGGCGUAAAGAGCUCGUAGGCGGUUUCGUAAGUCGGAUGUGAAAACUCAGGGCUCAACCCUGAGACGCCAUCUGAUACUGCGAUGACUAGAGUCCGGUAGAGGAGCAUGGAAUUCCUGGUGUAGCGGUGGAAUGCGCAGAUAUCAGGAGGAACACCAACGGCGAAGGCAGUGCUCUGGGCCGGUACUGACGCUGAGGAGCGAAAGCAUGGGGAGCAAACAGGAUUAGAUACCCUGGUAGUCCAUGCCGUAAACGUUGGGCACUAGGUGUGGGGUCUUCUAACGGAUUCCGUGCCGUAGCUAACGCAUUAAGUGCCCCGCCUGGGGAGUACGGCCGCAAGGCUAAACUCAAAGGAAUUGACGGGGG
RNAcentral lists this ribosomal RNA (875 nucleotides) under uncultured bacterium. RNAcentral's name for it is "bacterial SSU rRNA". It matches the Rfam family "Bacterial small subunit ribosomal RNA", at positions 28 to 919 of the family's 1533-position model. The record is from RNAcentral.